RNAcentral lists this ribosomal RNA (519 nucleotides) under uncultured bacterium. RNAcentral describes it as "bacterial SSU rRNA". It matches the Rfam family "Bacterial small subunit ribosomal RNA", at positions 28 to 547 of the family's 1533-position model. The record is from RNAcentral.
GAUGAACGCUGGCGGCGUGCUUAACACAUGCAAGUCGAGCGAAGCAUUUAAGACGAUCUCUUCGGAUUGAGUCUUAUAUGACUGAGCGGCGGACGGGUGAGUAACGCGUGGGUAACCUGCCUCAUACAGGGGGAUAACAGUUAGAAAUGACUGCUAAUACCGCAUAAGCGCACAGGGCUGCAUGGCCUGGUGUGAAAAACUCCGGUGGUAUGAGAUGGACCCGCGUCUGAUUAGCUAGUUGGAGGGGUAACGGCCCACCAAGGCGACGAUCAGUAGCCGGCCUGAGAGGGUGAACGGCCACAUUGGGACUGAGACACGGCCCAGACUCCUACGGGAGGCAGCAGUGGGGAAUAUUGCACAAUGGGGGAAACCCUGAUGCAGCGACGCCGCGUGAAGGAAGAAGUAUCUCGGUAUGUAAACUUCUAUCAGCAGGGAAGAAAAUGACGGUACCUGACUAAGAAGCCCCGGCUAACUACGUGCCAGCAGCCGCGGUAAUACGUAGGGGGCAAGCGUUAUCCG